Molecule: ribosomal RNA, 246 nt
Filed under: uncultured bacterium
Lineage: Bacteria
Description: partial 16S ribosomal RNA
Rfam family: Bacterial small subunit ribosomal RNA
Source: RNAcentral
AUACGGAGGACCCGAGCGUUAUCCGGAUUUAUUGGGUUUAAAGGGUGCGUAGGCGGAAAAUAAGUCAGUUGUGAAAGUUUGCGGCUCAACCGUAAAAUUGCAGUUGAUACUGUUUUUCUUGAGUGUACAUAAGGUAGGCGGAAUUCGUGGUGUAGCGGUGAAAUGCUUAGAUAUCACGAAGAACUCCAAUUGCGAAGGCAGCUUACCGGGGUACAACUGACGCUGAGGCACGAAAGCGUGGGGAUC